AUACGGAGGGUGCAAGCGUUAAUCGGAAUUACUGGGCGUAAAGCGUACGUAGGCGGUUCGUUAAGUUAGAUGUGAAAGCCCCGGGCUUAACCUGGGAACUGCAUUUAAAACUGGCGAACUAGAGUUGAGUAGAGGGGAGUGGAAUCUCAGGUGUAGCGGUGAAAUGCGUAGAGAUCUGAAGGAACACCAGUGGCGAAGGCGACUCCCUGGACUCGAACUGACGCUGAGGUACGAAAGCGUGGGUAGCAAACGGGAUUAGAAACCCCAGUAGUCC
This 274-nucleotide ribosomal RNA is filed under the name uncultured bacterium. RNAcentral describes it as "partial 16S ribosomal RNA". It matches the Rfam family "Bacterial small subunit ribosomal RNA", at positions 523 to 796 of the family's 1533-position model. The record is from RNAcentral.